GAUGAACGCUGGCGGCGUGCCUAAUACAUGCAAGUCGAACGAAGAGCGAUGGAAGUUUGCUUCCAUCAAUUUUAGUGGCGAACGGGUGUGUAACGUGUAAACAAUCUGUCCUUCACUGGGGGACAACAGGGGAACACGACCUCUAAUACCGCAUACGAUUUAAUCUCGGCAUCGAGGAGAGAAGAAAGGUGGCCCUGUCAUGUAAGCUAUCACUGACGGAGGGGUAUGCGUCUGAUUAGCUAGGUGGGGGGGUAACGGACCAUCAAUGCGAUGAACGGUAGCCCGACUUGGAGGAUGGACCGCCACAAUGGGACCGAGACACGGCCCAGGCUCCUACGGGGAGGAAGAGGGAGGGAACUUCCGGAAUGGGGGAAAGGCUGACGGGGCCACGCCGGGUGAGUGGUGGCGGCCCUCGGGUUGUAAAACUCUGGUUAUCAGGGAGAAAGACCUUCUUACGAAUAGUGGGAAGGAUUGACGGUACCGGAACAGAAAGCCACGGCUAACUACGUG
Molecule: ribosomal RNA, 510 nt
Filed under: uncultured bacterium
Lineage: Bacteria
Description: partial 16S ribosomal RNA
Rfam family: Bacterial small subunit ribosomal RNA
Source: RNAcentral